This 823-nucleotide ribosomal RNA is filed under the name uncultured Planctomycetota bacterium. RNAcentral's name for it is "bacterial SSU rRNA". It matches the Rfam family "Bacterial small subunit ribosomal RNA", at positions 570 to 1386 of the family's 1533-position model. The record is from RNAcentral. Lineage: Bacteria; Pseudomonadati; Planctomycetota.
CGUAGGCGGCAGCGCAAGUCAGAUGUGAAAGCCCUCGGCUAAACCGGGGAAUUGCAUCUGAAACUGCGUAGCUAGAGUUCGGGAGAGGGCGGCGGAACUCCCGGUGUAGGGGUGAAAUCCGUAGAUAUCGGGAGGAACACCAGAGGCGAAGGCGGCCGCCUGGAUCUGUUCUGACGCUGAGGCACGAAAGCGUGGGUAGCGAACGGGAUUAGAUACCCCGGUAGUCCACGCCGUAAACAAUGUGCACUAGGUCGAGGGCGUUCUGACGCGACUCUCGGCCGAAGCGAAAGUGUUAAGUGCACCGCCUGAGGAGUACGGUCGCAAGGCUAAAACUCAAAGGAAUUGACGGGGGCUCACACAAGCGGUGGAGCAUGUGGCUUAAUUCGAAGCAACGCGAAGAACCUUAUCCUAGGUUUGACAUACACGGAUUAGCUAUAAGAAACUAUAGUGACACCUUCGGGUGGAACGUGAACAGGUGCUGCAUGGCUGUCGUCAGCUCGUGCAGUGAAGUGUCGGGUUAAGUCCCUUAACGAGCGCAACCCUUAUCGUUAGUUGCUAACAGGUAAUGCUGAGGACUCUAGCGAGACUGCCGGUGUUAAACCGGAGGAAGGUGGGGAUGACGUCAAGUCCGCAUGGCCUUUAUGCCUAGGGCUGCACACGUGCUACAAUGGCAAGUACAAAACGAAGCAAUACCGCAAGGUGGAGCAAAUCGCAAAAACUUGCCCCAGUUCGGAUUGCAGGCUGCAACUCGCCUGCAUGAAGUUGGAAUCGCUAGUAAUCGUGGAUCAGCAUGCCACGGUGAAUACGUUCCUGAGCCUUGUAC